Molecule: transfer RNA, 76 nt
Filed under: Desulfosalsimonas propionicica
Lineage: Bacteria; Pseudomonadati; Thermodesulfobacteriota; Desulfobacteria; Desulfobacterales; Desulfosalsimonadaceae
Also listed under: 2 other names
Description: tRNA-Glu
Rfam family: tRNA
About the family: Transfer RNA (tRNA) molecules are approximately 80 nucleotides in length. Their secondary structure includes four short double-helical elements and three loops (D, anti-codon, and T loops).
Source: RNAcentral
GGCCCCAUCGUCUAGCGGUCCAGGACGCCGGCCUCUCACGCCGGAAACACGGGUUCGAGUCCCGUUGGGGUCACCA